AUACGGAGGGGACUAGCGUUGUUCGGAUUUACUGGGCGUAAAGCGCGCGUAGGCGGUUUGGAAAGUCAGAUGUGAAAUCCCAGGGCUCAACCCUGGAACUGCAUUUGAAACUAUCAGACUAGAGAUUGGGAGAGGUAAGUGGAAUUCCGAGUGUAGAGGUGAAAUUCGUAGAUAUUCGGAGGAACACCAGAGGCGAAGGCGACUUACUGGACCAAUACUGACGCUGAGGUGCGAAAGCGUGGGGAGCAAACAGGAUUAGAAACCCCGGUAGUCC
Molecule: ribosomal RNA, 274 nt
Filed under: uncultured bacterium
Lineage: Bacteria
Description: partial 16S ribosomal RNA
Rfam family: Bacterial small subunit ribosomal RNA
Source: RNAcentral